Molecule: ribosomal RNA, 207 nt
Filed under: uncultured bacterium
Lineage: Bacteria
Description: partial 16S ribosomal RNA
Rfam family: Bacterial small subunit ribosomal RNA
Source: RNAcentral
UGCGUAGGUGGCGCUGUAAGUCAGGUGUGAAAUUUCGGAGCUUAACUCCGAAACUGCAUUUGAUACUGCGGUGCUCGAGGACUGGAGAGGAGACUGGAAUUUACGGUGUAGCAGUGAAAUGCGUAGAGAUCGUAAGGAAGACCAGUGGCGAAGGCGGGUCUCUGGACAGUUCCUGACACUGAGGCACGAAGGCCAGGGGAGCAAACG